RNAcentral lists this ribosomal RNA (500 nucleotides) under uncultured bacterium. RNAcentral's name for it is "partial 16S ribosomal RNA". It matches the Rfam family "Bacterial small subunit ribosomal RNA", at positions 30 to 523 of the family's 1533-position model. The record is from RNAcentral.
AUUGAACGCUGGCGGAAUGCUUUACACAUGCAAGUCGAACGGCAGCACGGACUUCGGUCUGGUGGCGAGUGGCGAACGGGUGAGUAAUGUAUCGGAACGUGCCCAGUCGUGGGGGAUAACGUAGUGAAAAUUACGCUAAUACCGCAUACGAUCUAUGGAUGGAAGCGGGGGAUCGCAAGACCUCGCGCGGUUGGAGCGGCCGAUAUCAGAUUAGGUAAUUGGUGGGGUAAAGGCCCACCAAGCCAACGAUCUGUAGGUUGUCUGAGAGGACGACUAGCCACCUGGGGACAGAGACACGCUCCAGACUCAUACGGGAGGCAGCAGUGGGGAAUUUUGGACAAUGGGCUAAAGCCUGAUCCAGCCAUUCCGCGUGCAGGAUGAAGGCCCUAGGGUUGUAGACUGCUUUUGUACAGAACGAAAAGGUUUCUACUAAUACUGGGAGCUCAUGACGGUACUGUAAGAAUAAGCACCGGCUAACUACGUGCCAGCCGCCGCCGUAA